GGUGAGAGUUUUUAAAACAUUGCCGGUAGGUCAUGGCAUGUUUCAGUGCACAUAGAAACUUCCUUUUUAUCAUAGUUUUUCUUCGUUAUUUUCCUUUGUUUGUCUUAAUUUCUUUCUACUUUUGGUAUUGUAUUUCUUAAACCUUUUUGACUUUCCAUGUUUCUUUUCUGCAACAAGCUUUCACAUUAAGUUAAGUCCCAUUCAUAUAUAUAUAUAUAUAUAUAUAUGUAUGUAUGUAUGUAUCCAGUUGUUAUGGUCAUUGCUUGGUAGGAUCAAUCGAAUAUGUGGUAAUCCAAUUGAUUUGUUGGCUUUUAAAAAAGAUUUUCAUCGAGUUCUUCACCUCCUGAUACUAGGGAAAAAAAUGGGUUUUCAAGCAAAUUCUUGGAUCCAGUGGAAUACCCUCACCUUGGAGGGGCUCGUGAUGGUGGUCUACAAUUUGGGUUUUGCUCUGGAAAUGGGUUUUCCUCCGGACAUGGUGCGGUGUUAGGAAUAACACUCGGUCAUCAAUUUAUGUGUGGAAGAAAGUUUAGAACUUUAUGCAGUCCAAGUGUUUGACGAAAUGCUCAGCUCAAGAUUUUUUGCGAAGGUUAUGUUUUCAGUCCUUUUAUCUGAGAUUGAGGGAGGAUGUUGAAUAUAUCACUACCAACUCAUCACUGCCACUCAUCAAAACAGUUGUAAAGGAUUGGACGAUGUAAUAGUUAGUUGAAAGAGUUAGUUAGAGUUUGUUACUCAAAGCUUAUGAGCUAGUCCUCUAGUCAACUAUAUAUAGCUAUUGUAAAGAUAUAGUAAAAUUAGUCAUUGAAUUCAAUACAAAACCUUCAUUCAUUU
Long non-coding RNA from Pyrus x bretschneideri (Chinese white pear), 828 nucleotides. RefSeq lists it as uncharacterized. NCBI's taxonomy places the organism in Eukaryota, Viridiplantae, Streptophyta, Magnoliopsida, Rosales, Rosaceae. The transcript has 2 exons. The record is from RefSeq and is a predicted model, not a curated record.